Molecule: ribosomal RNA, 431 nt
Filed under: Prosthecomicrobium sp. 'ARUP UnID 534'
Lineage: Bacteria; Pseudomonadati; Pseudomonadota; Alphaproteobacteria; Hyphomicrobiales; Kaistiaceae
Description: bacterial SSU rRNA
Rfam family: Bacterial small subunit ribosomal RNA
Source: RNAcentral
GAACGAACGCUGGCGGCAGGCUUAACACAUGCAAGUCGAACGCCCCGCAAGGGGAGUGGCAGACGGGUGAGUAACGCGUGGGAAUCUACCCAGUUCUUCGGAAUAACUGAGGGAAACUUCAGCUAAUACCGGAUACGCCCUACGGGGGAAAGAUUUAUCGGAAUUGGAUGAGCCCGCGUAAGAUUAGCUAGUUGGUGAGGUAACGGCUCACCAAGGCGACGAUCUUUAGCUGGUCUGAGAGGAUGAUCAGCCACACUGGGACUGAGACACGGCCCAGACUCCUACGGGAGGCAGCAGUGGGGAAUAUUGGACAAUGGGCGCAAGCCUGAUCCAGCCAUGCCGCGUGAGUGAUGAAGGCCUUAGGGUUGUAAAGCUCUUUCAGUAGGGAAGAUAAUGACGGUACCUACAGAAGAAGCCCCGGCUAACUUCGU